CCUACGGGAGGCAGCAGUGGGGAAUUUUGGACAAUGGGCGCAAGCCUGAUCCAGCAAUGCCGCGUGCAGGAUGAAGGCCUUCGGGUCGUAAACUGCUUUUGUACGGAACGAAACGGCUCUUUCUAAUAAAGAGAGCUAAUGACGGUACCGUAAGAAUAAGCACCGGCUAACUACGUGCCAGCAGCCGCGGUAAUACGUAGGGUGCGAGCGUUAAUCGGAAUUACUGGGCGUAAAGCGUGCGCAGGCGGUUAUAUAAGACAGAUGUGAAAUCCCCGGGCUCAACCUGGGACCUGCAUUUGUGACUGUAUAGCUAGAGUACGGUAGAGGGGGAUGGAAUUCCGCGUGUAGCAGUGAAAUGCGUAGAUAUGCGGAGGAACACCGAUGGCGAAGGCAAUCCCCUGGACCUGUACUGACGCCCAUGCACGAAAGCGUGGGGAGCAAACAGGAUUAGAUACCCUGGUAGUCCACGCCCUAAACGAUGUCAACUGGUUGUUGGGUCUUCACUGACUCAGUAACGAAGCUAACGCGUGAAGUUGACCGCCUGGGGAGUACGGCCGCAAGGUUGAAACGUCAAAUGAAUUGACGG
RNAcentral lists this ribosomal RNA (586 nucleotides) under uncultured bacterium. RNAcentral describes it as "bacterial SSU rRNA". It matches the Rfam family "Bacterial small subunit ribosomal RNA", at positions 338 to 916 of the family's 1533-position model. The record is from RNAcentral.